This 179-nucleotide ribosomal RNA is filed under the name uncultured bacterium. RNAcentral describes it as "partial 16S ribosomal RNA". It matches the Rfam family "Bacterial small subunit ribosomal RNA", at positions 140 to 334 of the family's 1533-position model. The record is from RNAcentral.
GGGAUAACAUCUAGAAAUAGAUGCUAAUACCGGAUAGGUCCCGCAAGGGGUAAAGAUUUAUCGGUUUGGGAGGGCCUGCAUACUAUCAGCCUGUUGGUAAGGUAAUGGCUUACCAAGGCUAUGACGGUUAACUGGUCUGAGAGGAUGAUCAGUCGCGAUGGGACUGAGACACGGCCCAU